Molecule: ribosomal RNA, 229 nt
Filed under: uncultured bacterium
Lineage: Bacteria
Description: partial 16S ribosomal RNA
Rfam family: Bacterial small subunit ribosomal RNA
Source: RNAcentral
CAUGUAGGCGGUCAAUCAAGUCAGAUGUGAAAGUCCUGGGCUUAACCCAGGAAGUGCAUCUGAAACUGUUUGGCUAGAGUACAGGAGAGGUAGGUGGAAUUCCUGGUGUAGAGGUGAAAUUCGUAGAUAUCGGGAAGAACACCGGUGGCGAAGGCGGCCUUCUGGCCUGAUACUGACGCUGAGAUGCGAAAGCGUGGGGAGCAAACAGGAUUAGAUACCCUGGUAGUCC